Molecule: ribosomal RNA, 473 nt
Filed under: uncultured bacterium
Lineage: Bacteria
Description: bacterial SSU rRNA
Rfam family: Bacterial small subunit ribosomal RNA
Source: RNAcentral
AGGGUUUGAUCAUGGCUCAGAACGUACGCUGGCGGCACGCCUAACACAUGCAAGUCGAACGCAGUAGCAAUACUGAGUGGCGGACGGGUGAGUAUAAUGUGGGUAUCUGCCCUAUGGUUUGGAAUAACACGAGGAAACUUGUGCUAAUACUGAAUAAGCCCUUACGGGGAAAGCUUUAUGCGCCAUUGGAUGAGCCCGCACUUGAUUAGCUAGUUGGUAAGGUAAAAGCUUACCAAGGCUACGAUCAAUAGCUGAUCUGAGAGGAUGAUCAGCCACAUUGGGACUGAGACACGGCCCAAACUCCUACGGGAGGCAGCAGUGGGGAAUCUUGCACAAUGGGGGAAACCCUGAUGCAGCGAUGCCGCGUGAGUGAAGAAGGCCCUUGGGUUGUAAAGCUCUUUCGUCGGGGAAGAAAAUGACUGUACCCGAAUAAGAAGGUCCGGCUAACUUCGUGCCAGCCGCCGCGGUAAUAC